UCUUAGAGGAGUUUUACUCAAAUAGACCCAAAAAGUGAUGCUCCAAAGGGAAGGAGCAAUGGGAUCUAGGAGACUUUUAGGGUGGGAAGGAUGUCUGUAGUUUUAUGAAGCUGGGAGCAAUCUAAGAAGAAACAGACGCUCUGAUGAUGUAGGACGAGAGACUCGCGAGCUGCUGAGUGCAUUUGUGAGCGUGAGAGCAAACACGUGCUCAUGUGCGUGAGGGAGUUGUGGCCUUGGGACAAAAGUGUGGUCCGCUUGCCUACCAUGAUGACAAGAAGACGAUGAAGGUGGGGCAGGGAGAAACUGAGAAGGUAUCUGAAAGCCAUUGAACCUCUCCGGAGAACAGCUGCUAUAAAUCAUCGGCUGCUGUUCCAGCAUUAAACUGGCAGUGUUGGGAAAACGUGUCGUUUACAGUGAGGAUGCUUGUAAUCUUCUGGUCACUGUGUGUUGAAUAAUAGAUAGGUGACUAUCCCUUCAGCAAAGAAAAUAAGAGGGAAAUGCAUUUUUCUAGAGUUAUGCAUUUUUCAGAAAAGGACUGAGCCAUCGGCCCCUCAACAUCAGCCUUGCAUAAAAGAAGGCCCGACAGGAUCAAUUACGUUCACUUGUUGACUCAUCCUAUUAAAAUGUCUUCAGGCCUCUAGGAGAAGAUGAGCCCAAAAUGCACCCUCAUCAAAGAGAAAAUUGAUGGAUGAAAAUAGAUCAGCCAGCCAAAUUGGGUCUGAGAGGCAAGACUAGAGAUUGGAAGGACUUAAUCUGAAAAUCACAAAAUACUGAUGCUAAAAAGGAGCUGACUAUAACCAUUCCAAAGGAGAAAAUAAUUACCUAACCUUCUAAGAAAGCUUGCAGAACUACCAUACAACGAUUUUCACUUGAAAUAUUCACAUCCAAGCUUCCUCCAAUUCUUCUGCGGUGAUUCAGCAUCCAAAAUGGUUGUAAGCAGUGACGUCAGUGUUUGCUUAAUGUUCAUUAUGUGCCACGCAUUGUGCUAGCGAUCUUUCCUUAUGCUGUGCCUCUGUCCAGAACAGUGGUUUUAAUCUGGGCGUGAUAUGGCCCCCAGGAGAUACAUGGUGGGAUUUUUGGUUGUCACAACUGGAAUGAGU
Bos taurus (domestic cattle) is the source of this 1100-nucleotide long non-coding RNA. Lineage: Eukaryota; Metazoa; Chordata; Mammalia; Artiodactyla; Bovidae. The record is from Ensembl.